AAAUUCUAAAGGCAUUAAGAGUAGAUUGCAUAUUCCUCAUGGAUAAAAUAAAUCUAAAAUCCAAUUACACUGAGUAUUGUGUCAAUAAAGUGGCUACACCAUAGCCUUAGCAAAAAAAGAAAAACUUAGUUCAUGCCUAAAAGAAAAGAAACAGAAAAUAAAAUAAGAAGUGUUCUCUGAUUUACAGCAAACUCAGAAUUUUCAGCAAUCCUAUUUCUUCAGCAAUUCAGAUUUUCAGCACUCUAGAUCUUGAGCAGUUUGUUUCCAGCAAUCUGUUCUUCAAAGCUCUUGUUUCCAGCAAUCUGUUCUUCGACAGAUCUGGUUUUCAUCAUUUUGUUGGGCGAGAAGAGAUGUGGAAGAAGAAUCCAAGAGGUAAGAGACAGAGGCCAGAAAAGUGUCUUCCCCGCAUUCCCCCUCUUCCUCUCUUUUUAAAGACCUCACCGCGCCCUGUUUUUUUUUUUCACUCUUCCCAAUUUCUCUCCGAUUCCAAUUCCUCAACCUACCUCUCUUUCCUUUUCUUUCAGAGACCCAAACCGCAUUGUCUCUAAUCCACGCUGAAUAAUCCAGAUUUGUUUCCUCCCGCUUGAAAGAAGCCAGGCCGUCCUUCCUUAUUUUGACUCGGUGAAGACCCAAGCCGUUGCUGUUGCUUUGCUGAUCAGUGUUUCACGCGCAGGGGGAAAUUGUUUCUGUUUUUGCGCGCGCUCUGUUUCACGCGCGUGGGGUUGCAAUCAGCCU
RNAcentral lists this long non-coding RNA (735 nucleotides) under Elaeis guineensis (African oil palm). Its description in RNAcentral is "long non-coding RNA (EGUI_LNC079917)". The record is from RNAcentral. Lineage: Eukaryota; Viridiplantae; Streptophyta; Magnoliopsida; Arecales; Arecaceae.